This 501-nucleotide ribosomal RNA is filed under the name uncultured bacterium. RNAcentral describes it as "partial 16S ribosomal RNA". It matches the Rfam family "Bacterial small subunit ribosomal RNA", at positions 30 to 523 of the family's 1533-position model. The record is from RNAcentral.
CUUGAACGCUGGCGGCAUGCCUUACACAUGCAAGUCGAACGGCAGCACGGGUGCUUGCACCUGGUGGCGAGUGGCGAACGGGUGAGUAAUACAUCGGAACGUACUUUAUCGUGGGGGAUAACGCAGCGAAAGCUGUGCUAAUACCGCAUACGCCCUGAGGGGGAAAGCGGGGGAUCGCAAGACCUCGCGCGAUUAGAGCGGCCGAUGCCUGAUUAGCUUGUUGGUGGGGUAAAAGCCCACCAAGGCGACGAUCAGUAGCUGGUCUGAGAGGACGAUCAGCCCCACUGGGGCUGAGACACGGCCCAGACUCCUACGGGAGGAAGCAGUGGGGAAUUUUGGACAAUGGGGGCAACCCUGAUCCAGCAAUGCCGCGUGAGUGAAGAAGGCCUUCGGGUUGUAAAGCUCUUUUGUCAGGGAAGAAACACCGGCUCUAACACAGUCCGGGAAUGACGGUACCUGAAGAAUAAGCACCGGCUAACUACGUGCCAGCAGCCGCCGUAA